GGUUUACGCGGUGGUAGGAGCCGCGGUGAGACGGAGGGUGGUAGCGGUAUGUGGAUUUAAUGGGUUUGAAGGGUGGGGAGGCGGAUCUGUAAGUCAGCGGUGAAAUCUCCGUGCUCAACCCGGAAACUGCCAUUGAUACUAUUGGUCUUGAAUAUUGUGGAGGUGGGCGGAACGGGUCAUGUAGCGGUGAAAUGCUUAGAGAUGACCCGGAACACCGAUUGCGAAGGCAGCACACUACGCAAUGAUUGACGCUGAGGCACGAAAGCGUGGGGAUCAAACAGGAUUAGAUACCCCGGUAUC
This 300-nucleotide ribosomal RNA is filed under the name uncultured Sulfurimonas sp. RNAcentral's name for it is "partial 16S ribosomal RNA". It matches the Rfam family "Bacterial small subunit ribosomal RNA", at positions 495 to 795 of the family's 1533-position model. Lineage: Bacteria; Pseudomonadati; Campylobacterota; Epsilonproteobacteria; Campylobacterales; Sulfurimonadaceae. The record is from RNAcentral.